CAAAGAUUAAGCCAUGCAUGUCUCAGUGCAAGCCGAAUUAAGGUGAAACCGCGAAAGGCUCAUUAAAUCAGCUAUGAUUCAAUUGAUGGUACGAUCACGGUUACUUGGAUAACUGUGGCAAUUCUAGAGCUAAUACAUGCUAAACGAGUUCCGACCGCGGGUUCGAACGAUCUCGCGGAACGAAUGCUUUUAUUAGAACAAAACCAAUCGGAUCUCAAUCGANAUCCGCAAAUCUAUGACGAAUCUGAAUAACUUUGAGCUGAUCGCACGGUCUCUGGAACCGGCGACGCAUCUUUCAAAUGUCUGACUUAUCAACUUUCGAUGGUAGGCUACGCGCCUACCAUGGUGAUAACGGGUGACGGGGAAUCAGGGUUCGAUCCCGGAGAGGGAGCCUGAGAAACGGCUACCACAUCCAAGGAAGGCAGCAGGCGCGCAAAUUACCCACUCCCGGCACGGGGAGGUAGUGACGAAAAAUAACGAUGCAGGACUCUUUUCGAGGCUCUGCAAUCGGAAUGAGAACACUCUAAAUCAUUUAACGAGUAUCCAUUGGAGGGCAAGUCUGG
This 563-nucleotide ribosomal RNA is filed under the name Pediculus humanus (human louse). Its description in RNAcentral is "SSU rRNA". It matches the Rfam family "Eukaryotic small subunit ribosomal RNA", at positions 38 to 564 of the family's 1831-position model. The record is from RNAcentral. Lineage: Eukaryota; Metazoa; Arthropoda; Insecta; Psocodea; Pediculidae.